UAUACAAAGGGCGGGUAUGUUUUUUUUGUUUGUAUUCUCUUGAUGGUCCAUUUUAAACCAAUUAAAAUCCACCCUUUGUCGGAAAAAUUCUUUUAUCGUCUAAUAGUGAAUAUUGGUGAAUUGAUGGGUAGACAAAGAUCCCAUAAUAGAAAAAACAAGCGAAUGCGUCCUAACUUUUCUGAUGAAAAGGUUAGAGCACUGUCUUUGCAAAUGAACAUAACAUUCUGCAAUGGUCAUGUUGAGUAAAUAGGCAAUUUCUCGAUUAAAUUAAUCCAUGAGUAAAUCACUAGCAUGGCAUUGACUAAGUUGAUGAUGUACUCACUCUGAUCUAAACAUGCACGUACUAAGCAAACAGUAGACAAAUCUACACAUACUACUAGUACUGCUAAUAUGAAAAUAAUCAGGAGCGGGAUAAACGAGUUAUACCCUCCAGUAGGCCACGCAGAGGCCGCGGCUUUGGUGGCAGCAGCGGCGUCCUCGGCGACCUUCUUGUCGGCUUCAGCUUUCUCGGCGGCGGCACGGUCGGCGUCGGUGGACAUGGUGAUGACGAAGGCGACGCGGACGUAGAGGAAGUAGACGAUCGAAAGCGAGCAGUCGCGUAAUCGCUGCCCAAAAACCUAUUCGCCCCUCACCCCGUACAGGAACCAGAAGGGCGUGGUUUCGGAGACCUGCUCUCCCGUCGACCGUGUACGUGGCGGACGGGAUGGAGUCACCGGCGGCAGCAGCAGCAAAGGAACGACGGUGGGCGUGCGCGUGAGCAGAUGUGAUCUGUUCGUGGCGGCUAGGGUUAGGAGACACCGCAUACUUAUAGGUGCAGCCGCGUGGAGAGACGUGGGCUCGACCCACGUCCGAGUCCGUGACAGCCCACGAUCCGACGUCUCAGAUCGUGGCCCAGCUGUCAGAAAACUCUUCGUUAGUGACUGGCAAAAAUAAGCGCGUAGGUGUGAGCUCGGCUCGGCUCAAUCCCGCAACCCGCGGCGCGUCGUGACGAGGCGUGGCUUGGCGAGGCGGGCGGCGGAGGAGGAGUGCGCGAGGGCCUCUUCUCUUCUCAAGCUCCAAUAGCAUGUAGAAGAGAAACCCUUAUAAACCACUCCAACUCUCCUUCCACUUCCGGGGUGGGACUAAACUUCCCACCACACCUAGUGCCAUAUAACCCACAUGGGCCCUUAGAGAUUUUUCAGAAAUUGCAAUAUGGGCCUAGAGCCCAUCUCAGAUUUCAGCAAUCCCCCACCAGAUCUCGAGGGCCCAUUGUGUCCUCUGUUCCAAUUGCUGUUUCGAUAUACCAGUGUUUCAGUAAAGACCUGUUAAGGUUGAACUUCACCUAGAACAAGUGGCUACACUCCUUCACAACUGAACAAUGGACUAUGCCUUGAAUUGUCAGUUUGGCGUAAAGAAGUUUCACUACAUGUCUUACUAGUACUAGGCUGCCGAAGGCUGACCCCUCGGGUGGAGCAUAUAAGUCACACUCCUGGCCUAUUCAUGAGCUUACUAGAGAUCACCCCAAUCUCAUAGACUUGGACCAGCAGUCGGGCUCAUAUAGGUGUGUUCCUCCAAAGAUCGCUCUGUAGGAUAGCAUCUUGCUUUUAUAAGCUUUGGAACACAUUGAGACCGUAGUCAUCCUACCAUACAGUAUCGAGAGUAUUGCAUCUCCAAUGGAGUGGGUUAGUAUAGUUACUCUCCUCAGUUCACCACUGGCUUGUUUUCCCAGGUCCUAGUUCACGGGAUCUCCGAUCACAUAGGUUGGGUUACCACCAUGGCAACUCAUGUGGGUCUCAUACCCAUCUCCCUCGAUGCAUUAUCUAUCACAACACGUGAUAGCCCUUUUGUAAAGGGAUCUGCCAGAUUCUUAGCCGUAUGGACAUAGUCCAACGCUAUCACUCCGGAGUUUCUUAAUUUUCUGACAGCUUUUAAUCUCAUUCUUAUGUGUUUGGUGGACUUCAUGUUGUCCUUUGAACUCUUCACCUUGGUGAUGACAGUCUGAUUGUCACAGUUCAUAAGGAUAGCCGGAACCGGUUUAUCAACCAAUGGCAAGUCCAUCAAAAGAUCUCGAAGCCAUCUCGCUUCAACACCAGAUGUGUCUAAUGCCGUUAAUUCUGCUUCCAUUGUCGAUCUCGUUAAGAUCGUUUGCUUGCAAGACUUCCAGGAAACAGCGCCACCUCCAAGAGUAAACAUAUACCCAGUUGUGGCCUUCAUCUCAUCAGCAUUAGAGAUCCAAUUCGCAUCACUAUACCCUUCAAGUACCGACGGGUAUCCGGUAUAGUGAAGUCCAUAGUUCAUAGUACCUUUCAGAUAGCGCAUAACUCUCUCAACAGCAUGCCAAUGUACAUCACCCGGUUUGGAAACAAACCGGCUCAGUUUGCUCACAGCAAACGCGAUGUCAGGCCUCGUUGCGCUCGCUAGGUACAUCAGUGAACCAAUGAUUUGAGAGUAUCUCAAUUGAUCUUUAGCCAUGCCUUUGGACUUUCGAAUCAAUACGCUAGGAUCAUAUGGUGUUUGAGAUGGUGUGCAGUCCGAAUAUCCAAAACGACUCAACACCUUCUCAACGUAAUGGGAUUGCAGAAGUGUGAUCCCACCCUCAUUAUCUCUCAGUAGCUUGAUGUUCAAGAUAACAUCAGCCACACCAAGGUCUUUCAUCUCAAAGUUCUGAGAUAGAAACGAUUUGACCUCCUCAAUGACUUUGAGGUUUGUUCCGAAUAUCAGUAUGUCAUCAACAUACAACCACAGUAUAACUCCUUCGCCCCCACCAUGGCGAUAGUAUACACAUUUGUCAGCCUCAUUAACAACGAAACCAACAGAUGUCAGAGUUGUAUUAAACUUAUCAUGCCAUUGCUUAGGUGCUUGUUUCAGGCCAUAUAAAGAUUUUAUCAACCUACACACCUUUCUUUCCUGACUAUCUAUCACAAAGCCAUCAGGCUGUUGCAUGUAGAUUUCCUCCUUUAGCUCUCCAUUUAGAAAAGCCGUCUUAACAUCCAUCUGAUGGACGAGAAGACCAUGUGAGGCCGCCAACGAGAGUAAUACUCGAAUGGUGGUCAGCCUAGCCACAGGUGAAUAAGUAUCAAAGAAAUCUUCCUCUUCUUCCUGGUCAUAGCCCUUGGCCACAAGCCUAGCCUUGUACUUUUCAAUCGUACCAUCGGGCCUAAGCUUCUUUUUGAACACCCACUUACAUCCCAGUGGUUUGCAACCAUAGGGACGGUCAGUGAUCUCCCAUGUCCCGUUAGCCAUGAUGGAAUCCAUCUCGCUACGGACCGCAUCCUUCCAGUAGUUAGCUUCUGGAGAGGCAUACGCUUCUGAAAUAGAAGUGGGAGUAUCAUCCACGAGGUACACGAAGAAAUCAUCACCAAAGGUCUUUGCAGUCCUUUGUCUCUUGCCCCUACCAAGGGUUUCCUCGUCAUCCUCCUCAGGAUUUUCAUCAUGUGUUUGUUCAUAAUAUUCCAUAGGGAUGGCAGGUUCAGGAGUCUCCUCAGAUUCCUGUCUAGAAGUGCUUUGCAUAUCUCUCAUAGGAAAAAUAUCCUCAAAGAAUGUAGCAUCCUUAGACUCCAUAAUUGUACCGAUCUUCUGGUCAGGUACCUCAGAUUUCACUACUAGAAAUCUAUAGCCAACGUUGUUCUUAGCGUAGCCCAAAUUAAUGCAGUCCACGGUCUUAUGUCCAAGCUUACGCUUUUUGGGGAUCGGCACGUUGACUUUCGCCAAACAGCCCCAAGUGCGCAAGUACGAGAGUGUCGUCCUUCUCUUUGCCCAUUUCUCAUAGGGAGUGAUCUCACUAUCCUUUGUCGGAACUUUAUUCAGGACAUGACAUGCCGUCAAUAUAGCCUCCCCCCACCAUGCCUUGGAUAAACCUGAUGUAUCUAACAUGGCGUUAACCAAAUCAGUUAGAGUACGGUUUUUCCGCUCGGCAACCCCGUUUGACUGGGGUGAAUAGGGAGGCGUCCUCUCAUGAAUAAUGCCGUGUUCCGCACAGAAGGAAUCAAACCCACUCGAGAAGUACUCUCCACCACGAUCUGACCGGACUCGUUUAAUUUUCUUUUCAAGUUGAUUUUCAACUUCUGCCUUAUAGAUUUUAAAGUAGUGUAGAGCCUCAUCUUUAGUAUUUAACAGAUACACAUAGCAAUAUCUAGUGGAAUCAUCUAUCAAUGUCAUGAAGUAUCUCUUUCCACCUUUAGUCAACACACCAUUCAUCUCGCAAAGAUCAGAAUGUAUGAGUUCUAAUGGUGCCAGGUGUCUCUCCUCCGCGGCCUUAUGAGGCUUGCGAGGUUGCUUAGCUUGCACACAUGAAAGGCACUUAGAACCUUUGGCUAAAGUGAAACUCGGGAUUAAAUCCAACUUGGCUAGCCACGUCAUAACACCAAAACUAAUGUGACAAAGACGUGAAUGCCAAACUUCAGAUUCAUUAACAUUCGAAUGAAUAUGGUUCACGACUUUAUUACAAAAAUCUGCGAGGGAAAGGCGGAACAUCCCUCCGCUCUCAUAACCUUUUCCAACAAAGAGUCCAUAUUUUGUAACAACUAAUUUAUUAGACUCAAAAACCAACUUAAACCCUUCUCUACAUAGAAGGGAGCCACUAACGAGGUUCUUCUUGAUGGCGGGGACAUGCUGCACGUUCUUCAGCUGCACGAUCCUUCCCGAAGUAAACUUCAGAUCGACCGUGCCAACACCAUGAACAGAAGCACUCGCGCCAUUCCCCAUCAAUACGGACCCGUGACCUGUGACCUGGUAAGAAGUGAACAAUGAAAUGUCAGCACACACAUGAACACCUGCACCUGUGUCCACCCACCAAUCGUUGGGUUGAAACACUGAAAAAACAGUAAAUAAAUUACCGUACCCAGAUGCACCAUUCUCAUUGUUGCCCACAAUCAUGUUGACAGACUUGGAUUCCUGUCCUGACUUCUUGUACUUGUUUGGGCACUUGUUGGCCCAAUGUUCAACCGAACCACAAGUAAAGCAGCCCUCGUCCUUCUUGUUCUUCUUGAAGGUCUUCUUACCCUUCUUCUUAAAGUCGGUAUUGUGUUGGACACCGUUCUUUCCCUUGGGCUUGUGGGAGUUGAAGUUCUUCUGGUUCACCAUGUUGGCAACAGAAGUCCCUUCGGCCCCUUUUCCGUGCGAGUCUUUUGCCCUCGAAUUCUGCUCAACACUCAGAUGGCCAAUGACAUCCUCCACAGAUAAUUCACGCCUCUGAUGUUUCAAAGUGGUGGCAAAGUUCCUCCAGGAAUUAGGGAGCUUAGCGAUUAUGCAGCCCGCGACAAACUUGCCCGGUAACUCGCACUUGAGAAGCUCAAGUUCCUUAACAGUGCAUAUUAUCUCAUGAGCCUGCUCCAAUACAGGACGGUUUUCAACCAUCUUGUAAUCGUGGAACUGCUCUAUAAUAUACAUCUCGCUCCCUGCAUCGGCGGCCCCGAAUUUAGAUUCGAGCGCCUCCCACAAGUCCUUGGCGACAUGCACAUGUAAAUAUGCGUCGACCAGUUUAUCUCCGAUCACGCUAAGAACUGCUCCGAGAAACACAACGGUAGCCUCCUUGAACGCCUUCUCCUGUUCAGGAGCAAUCGUUCCCGUGGAGACACCGGUGACCCAGAACACGUUCAUAGCCGUGAGCCAUAACGUGGUCUUAGUCUGCCAACGCUUGAAGUAUGUACCGGUAAACUUAUCCGAUUUCAGUGCAGCGGCAAAGCCACUUACCGAGAAAUUCCUACACAUAAUAGGUUUUUGGAUUGUUGAGUAAAUAGGCAAUUUCUCGAUUAAAUUAAUCCAUGAGUAAAUCACUAGCAUGGCAUUGACUAAGUUGAUGACGUACUCACUCUGAUCUAAACAUGCACGUACUAAGCAAACAGUAGACAAAUCUACACAUACUACUAGUACUGCUAAUAUGAAAAUAAUCAGGAGCGGGAUAAACGAGUUAUACCCUCCAGUAGGCCACGCAGAGGCCGCGGCUUUGGUGGCAGCAGCGGCGUCCUCGGCGACCUUCUUGUCGGCUUCAGCUUUCUCGGCGGCGGCACGAUCGGCGUCGGUGGACAUGGUGAUGACGAAGGUGACGCGGACGUAGAGGAAGUAGACGAUCGGAAGCGAGCAGUCGCGUAAUCGCUGCCCAAAAACCUAUUCGCCCCUCACCCCGUACAGGAACCAGAAGGGCGUGGUUUCGGAGACCUGCUCUCCCGUCGACCGUGUACGUGGCGGACGGGAUGGAGUCACCGGCGGCAGCAGCAGCAAAGGAACGACGGUGGGCGUGCGCAUGAGCAGAUGUGAUCUGUUCGUGGCGGCUAGGGUUAGGAGACACCGCAUACUUAUAGGCGCAGCCGCGUGGAGAGACGUGGGCUCGACCCAAGUCCGAGUCCGUGACAGCCCACGAUCCGACGUCUCAGAUCGUGGCCCAGCUGUCAGAAAACUCUCCGUUAGUGACUGGCAAAAAUAAGCGCGUAGGUGUGAGCUCGGCUCGGCUCAAUCCCGCAACCCACGGCGCGUCGCGUCGCGUCGUGACGAGGCGUGGCGUGGCGAGGCGGGCGGCGGAGGAGUGCGCGAGGGCCUCUUCUCUUCUCAAGCUCCAAUAGCAUGUAGAAGAGAAACCCUUAUAAACCACUCCAACUCUCCUUCCACUUCCGGGGUGGGACUAAACUUCCCACCACACCUAAUGUCAUAUAACCCACAUGGGCCCUUAGAGAUUUUUCAGAAAUUGCAAUAUGGGCCUAGAGCCCAUCUCAGAUUUCAGCAGGUCAUACUAUAUGCUGAUCUAAUUGAGUAAAUCUACUGAAAUGUUCCAGCUUGACUGGAAGCGCAGAACAACUCCCAUAUUUUCCCCGGAAGGAGAUGGUUCAUCAGCAAACUACAACAAGGCCAAACUUCUCAAGUUUAUCCCCAAAACGGGACCAACUCUAAAAACACCCAGAGACCUCCAGAUUUUCGACAAAACGAGAGUUGAGCAAACUACUGCCAUCAGCUUCAGAAAUCACUAGAGCAAGUACAUUUGUUAGUUCUAGGCAACCUGAGAAAUAAAAUAAGAAAAGUUAGUGAACAGCAAUGAGAUGGAUUUCUCAACAAGAGGUGAUAUAGAAAAAACAAGACGACCUGUGUAAACAGCAGUCAGUACCACAACAGUAUUUGCAAUAUGUGCAACAUAUUUAUUUCUAGUAUAUCUUGAUUGAAGAAGAAAAUUACGCGGUGAUCAAUUCUUAACAAAAUAACGUUUGAAUUUCAGGCUGACCAGUGACAAUAUUUCAGGAAAACGAAUACUAGUCAUAAUGAUGACACUGCAAAGUGUAUGUCAGGCUCUUGUACACUAUAUAAGGUCUUGCCUAAUUUGUAGUUUUUGUACUGCUAGUUCAGAAAUACUAAUAUAUUUGGAUGAAAGGUCCAGCUAAAACAAACAUUGAUCAAUAAUUUUCAGCGGCACCAUCAAUACAGGUUGUUGAUAUAAGGCACCGUUGUGAAAUGAAUAUAUUUUUAACAGGUCAAAGAAUAUGGCAUUGACACUGAAAU
This 7461-nucleotide long non-coding RNA is filed under the name Triticum aestivum (bread wheat). RNAcentral's name for it is "long non-coding RNA (TAES_LNC022673)". Lineage: Eukaryota; Viridiplantae; Streptophyta; Magnoliopsida; Poales; Poaceae. The record is from RNAcentral.